GAUGAACGCUGGCGGCGUGCCUAAUACAUGCAAGUCGAGCGAACAGACGAGGAGCUUGCUCCUCUGACGUUAGCGGCGGACGGGUGAGUAACACGUGGAUAACCUACCUAUAAGACUGGGAUAACUUCGGGAAACCGGAGCUAAUACCGGAUAAUAUAUUGAACCGCAUGGUUCAAUAGUGAAAGACGGUUUUGCUGUCACUUAUAGAUGGAUCCGCGCCGCAUUAGCUAGUUGGUAAGGUAACGGCUUACCAAGGCAACGAUGUGUAGCCGACCUGAGAGGGUGAUCGGCCACACUGGAACUGAGACACGGUCCAGACUCCUACGGGAGGCAGCAGUAGGGAAUCUUCCGCAAUGGGCGAAAGCCUGACGGAGCAACGCCGCGUGAGUGAUGAAGGUCUUCGGAUCGUAAAACUCUGUUAUUAGGGAAGAACAAAUGUGUAAGUAACUAUGCACGUCUUGACGGUACCUAAUUAGAAAGCCACGGCUAACUACGUG
RNAcentral lists this ribosomal RNA (497 nucleotides) under uncultured bacterium. RNAcentral describes it as "partial 16S ribosomal RNA". It matches the Rfam family "Bacterial small subunit ribosomal RNA", at positions 28 to 507 of the family's 1533-position model. The record is from RNAcentral.